Molecule: ribosomal RNA, 524 nt
Filed under: Legionella fallonii
Lineage: Bacteria; Pseudomonadati; Pseudomonadota; Gammaproteobacteria; Legionellales; Legionellaceae
Description: bacterial SSU rRNA
Rfam family: Bacterial small subunit ribosomal RNA
Source: RNAcentral
UGCUUAACACAUGCAAGUCGAACGGCAGCAUAGUCUAGCUUGCUAGACUGAUGGCGAGUGGCGAACGGGUGAGUAACGCGUAGGAAUAUGCCUUAAAGAGGGGGACAACUUGGGGAAACUCAAGCUAAUACCGCAUACGCUCUUAGGAGGAAAGCUGGGGACCUUCGGGCCUGGCGCUUUAAGAUUAGCCUGCGUCCGAUUAGCUAGUUGGUGGGGUAAGGGCCUACCAAGGCGACGAUCGGUAGCUGGUCUGAGAGGAUGACCAGCCACACUGGAACUGAGACACGGUCCAGACUCCUACGGGAGGCAGCAGUGGGGAAUAUUGGACAAUGGGGGGAACCCUGAUCCAGCAAUGCCGCGUGUGUGAAGAAGGCCUGAGGGUUGUAAAGCACUUUCAGUGGGGAGGAGGUUUGACGGGUUAAGAGCUAGUUGAAUGGACGUUACCCACAGAAGAAGCACCGGCUAACUCCGUGCCAGCAGCCGCGGUAAUACGGAGGGUGCAAGCGUUAAUCGGAAUUACUGGG